This 1475-nucleotide long non-coding RNA is filed under the name Pan paniscus (pygmy chimpanzee). RNAcentral describes it as "lncRNA (ENSPPAG00000044636.1)". The record is from RNAcentral. Lineage: Eukaryota; Metazoa; Chordata; Mammalia; Primates; Hominidae.
CAAAGAAACACCAAUAGAUUUAAAAAAAUGUUUAUAUAUUGUUUGUAAAAUAAAAGAAAAAUUACGCUUAUUUUUAAAAGAAUGCAUUUUUGGAAGGUGUGAUUGUGGCCUAAUGAACAAAUUUCUGGAAGAAAUUGGUACGAAUAACACUGCCCUGUUCACAUAAAUGUGGCUCCCCAGGUGCAUUGUUUGCUGACCUCACACAGUGUGCAUAAUAAUGCCAAUUGGUCAGGUAUUUCAUGAAGUCCCAUAUAUGUCUGCACUCUGCUGGAUACACAUGAGAGGUAUAAGAUUCCUUCCCUCUGGUGAGGUGCAAAGGCGUGAACAAGAUGGUUUUCCGGGUGUCAUGUGAGAAGCAUUGAUCUACGAUCUGUUCCCCUUCCUGCUUCCUCUUCUCCCUUUAGCCCAUGUUCUGGUGCUAUCCAGAAGGAAAAGACUUUCUGAAGGGGUUCCAGACUCUCAUAGACUUCGAUGGGAGGGCUACUCACAGGAGGGAAGCUUGGAGCUGAAGAAAUGUGGAUCAAAGCAAUCAGCUUAAAGCAUCUCAUUCUGCCUUUCAUAGGCCAGCUGUUCUGAAAGUUCUACGGCCUUCCACAGUCAUGCCUGCCUUUCCCGAAAUGGCAGUUGCAAGACAGUUAAAGGUCAAAAAAGAGAGAAAACGUCACAGUUCUCUUCAGCAGAACUUUUGUCAGUGUGAUCGAGAAGUGUCUCAAGUGACAAGUGAGCUGACCAGGGUAAGAAAUAGUUUCCUGUGUCUGUUCUUGGCCUUGUUACUUUCCGGGAAGGGACAGAUUCCAGAGGACCCCCUCAUUGUCCUUGCCCUCAGCCUCAAAAUGUGGAUUGGGAGUUAGAGUUUUUUUUCUAGGAACAGAAAACCUCAUUUCUUUUUCUUUUUCUUUUUUUUCACACGGAGUUUUGCUCUGUCACCCAGGCUGGAGUACAGUAUCACGAUCUCAGCUCACUGCAACCUCCACCUCCCAGGUUCAAGUGAUUCUCCUGCCUCAGCCUCCUGAGUCUCUGGGAUUACAGGCAACCACCACCUUGCUGGGCUGAUUUUUGUAUUUUUAGUAGAGACGGGGUUUUCCCAUGUUGGCCAGACUUGUCUCCAACUCCUGGCCCCAACCAAUCUUCUGGCCUUAGCCUCCCAAAGUGCUGGGAUUACAGGAGUGAGCCACUGCGCCUGGCCAGAAAAACUCAUUUCUUGUCCUGGCUUUGCUACUAACUCGCUUGUAACCUUUAGCUAAUCUUUUAAUUUUCUGGGCCUCGGUUUCUACGUUUUUAAAAUUGGAGAGUUGAAAUGAUUGAUCUCUAAGAUAUUUAGUACUAGUGUUAUAUAAUUUCAGCAUAGAAUUUUUCUCAAGUAUGUUCUAAUACAUGUGUCUCAGAAUUCCCUAAUUUGCACGUCACCUCACUCUACAGUUUUUCCCUUUGUCUAUGCAUUAUAUAGGCUAGACGAUCAUUUGUGGAAUAUUUUU